CAUUGAUGAUAACUUACAAUUAUUAUCCGCCUGGGAACUACGAGCACCAGCUUAAAACCCAAAGGACUUGGCGGUGCUUUAGACCCACCUAGAGGAGCCUGUUCUAGAACCGAUAACCCCCGUUCAACCUCACCCUUCCUUGUUCCUCCCGCCUAUAUACCACCGUCGUCAGCUUACCCUGUGAAGGGCUAAUAGUAAGCAAAACUGGCAAAGCCCAAAACGUCAGGUCGAGGUGUAGCGCAUGGAAGGGGAAGAAAUGGGCUACAUUCACUAACCCAGUGCACACGAAUGACACCCUGAAACACGUGUCUGAAGGAGGAUUUAGCAGUAAGUAGAAAAUAGAGUGUUCUGCUGAAACUGGCCCUGAAGCGCGC
This 374-nucleotide ribosomal RNA is filed under the name Acanthurus nigricans (whitecheek surgeonfish). Its description in RNAcentral is "partial 12S ribosomal RNA". It matches the Rfam family "Bacterial small subunit ribosomal RNA", at positions 844 to 1384 of the family's 1533-position model. The record is from RNAcentral. Lineage: Eukaryota; Metazoa; Chordata; Actinopteri; Acanthuriformes; Acanthuridae.